RNAcentral lists this ribosomal RNA (200 nucleotides) under uncultured bacterium. RNAcentral describes it as "partial 16S ribosomal RNA". It matches the Rfam family "Bacterial small subunit ribosomal RNA", at positions 524 to 723 of the family's 1533-position model. The record is from RNAcentral.
UACGGAGGGUGCAAGCGUUAAUCGGAAUUACUGGGCGUAAAGCGCACGUAGGCGGACGACUAAGUCGGAUGUGAAAUCCCUGGGCUUAACCUGGGAACUGCAUCCGAUACUGGUCGCCUAGAGUAUGGAAGAGGGAAGCGGAAUUCCAGGUGUAGCGGUGAAAUGCGUAGAUAUCUGGAGGAACAUCAGUGGCGAAGGCG